This 406-nucleotide ribosomal RNA is filed under the name uncultured bacterium. RNAcentral's name for it is "partial 16S ribosomal RNA". It matches the Rfam family "Bacterial small subunit ribosomal RNA", at positions 28 to 526 of the family's 1533-position model. The record is from RNAcentral.
GAUGAACGCUGGCGGCAGGCCUAACACAUGCAAGUCGAACGAGUGGCGGACGGGUGAGUAAUGUCUGGGAAACUGCCCGCUGGCGGGGGAUAACUACUUGAAACGGUAGCUAAUACCGCAUACCAUCGGAUGUGCCCAGAUGGGAUUAGCUAGUAGGUGGGGUAACGGCUCACCUAGGCGACGAUCCCUAGCUGGUCUGAGAGGAUGACAAGCCCCACGGGAACUGAGACAGGGCCCAGACUCCUACGGUAGGGAGCAGUGGGGAAUAUUGCACAAGGGGCGCAAGCCUGAUGCAGCCAUGCCGAGUGUAUGAAGAAGGCCUUCGGGUUGUAAAGUACUUUCAGCGAGGAGGCUUUACUCGCAGAAGAAGCACCGGCUAACUCCGUGCCAGCAGCCGCGGUAAUAC